Molecule: ribosomal RNA, 483 nt
Filed under: uncultured bacterium
Lineage: Bacteria
Description: partial 16S ribosomal RNA
Rfam family: Bacterial small subunit ribosomal RNA
Source: RNAcentral
GAUGAACGCUGGCGGCGUGCCUAACACAUGCAAGUCGAACGGAGUCGUUUUGGAAAUCUCUUCGGAGAUGGAAUUCUCGACUUAGUGGCGGACGGGUGAGUAACGCGUGAGCAAUCUGCCUUUAAGAGGGGGAUAACAGUCGGAAACGGCUGCUAAUACCGCAUAAAGCAUUAAAUUCGCAUGUUUUUGAUGCCAAAGGAGCAAUCCGCUUUUAGAUGAGCUCGCGUCUGAUUAGCUAGUUGGCGGGGUAACGGCCCACCAAGGCGACGAUCAGUAGCCGGACUGAGAGGUUGAACGGCCACAUGGGGACUGAGACACGGCCCAGACGCCUACGGGAGGCAGCAGUGGGGAAUAUUGCGCAAUGGGGGAAACCCUGACGCAGCAACGCCGCGUGAUUGAAGAAGGCCUUCGGGUUGUAAAGAUCUUUAAUCAGGGACGAAACAAAUGACGGUACCUGAAGAAUAAGCGCCGGCUAACUACGUG